RNAcentral lists this ribosomal RNA (200 nucleotides) under uncultured eukaryote. RNAcentral's name for it is "partial 18S ribosomal RNA". It matches the Rfam family "Eukaryotic small subunit ribosomal RNA", at positions 588 to 795 of the family's 1831-position model. The record is from RNAcentral.
GCUCCAAUAGCGUAUAUUAAUGUUGUUGUAGUUAAAAAGCUCGUAGUUGGAUCUCGGGUCCAGGCUUGCGGUUCUGCUCGUGCAGAUACUGCUCGUCCUGACCUACCUGCCGGUGUUCCCCUGGUGCCUUAACUGGGUGUCUCGGGUGGCCGGAACGUUUACUUUGAAAAAAUUAGAGUGUUCAAAGCAGGCAGUUCGCC